Molecule: small nuclear RNA, 104 nt
Filed under: Panthera leo (lion)
Lineage: Eukaryota; Metazoa; Chordata; Mammalia; Carnivora; Felidae
Source: RNAcentral
GUGCUUGCUUCGGAAGCACAUAUACUAAAAUUGGAACGAUGCAGAGAUUAGCAUGGCUCCUGUGCAAGGAUGACAUGCAAAUUCAUGAAGCAUUCCAUAUUUUU